RNAcentral lists this ribosomal RNA (245 nucleotides) under uncultured bacterium. RNAcentral describes it as "partial 16S ribosomal RNA". It matches the Rfam family "Bacterial small subunit ribosomal RNA", at positions 524 to 768 of the family's 1533-position model. The record is from RNAcentral.
UACGUAGGGGGCCAGCGUUGUCCGGAGUUACUGGGCGUAAAGCGCACGCAGGCGGUCGACCACGUUCGGGGUGACAGCUUCCGGCUUCACUGGAAGAGGUCCUCGAAAACGGGGCGACUUGAGGGGUUCAGAGGGACCGAGAAUUCCGGGUGGAGUGGUGAAAUGCGUAGAGAUCCGGAGGAAUACCCAUGGCGAAGGCAUGGUCCUGGGAACCACCUGACGCUGAGGUGCGAAAGCGAGGGGAG